CCUACGGGGGGCAGCAGUGGGGAAUAUUGCACAAUGGACGAAAGUUUGAUGCAGCGACGCCGCGUGGAGGGUGUAGGCCUUCGGGUUGUGAACUCCUUUUUCUAGCGAAAAAGGCACGGUUUUGGCCGUGUUGAUGGUAGUUGGGGAAGAAGCGCCGGCUAACUACGUGCCAGCAGCCGCGGUAAUACGUAGGGCGCGAGCGUUGUCCGGAUUUAUUGGGCGUAAAGAGCUCGUAGGUGGUUCGUCGCGUCUGUCGUGAAAGCCAGCAGCUUAACUGUUGGUCUGCGGUGGGUACGGGCGGGCUUGAGUGCGGUAGGGGAGAUUGGAAUUCCUGGUGUAGCGGUGGAAUGCGCAGAUAUCAGGAGGAACACCGAUGGCGAAGGCAGGUCUCUGGGCCGUUACUGACGCUGAGGAGCGAAAGCGUGGGGAGCGAACAGGAUUAGAUACCCCGGUAGUC
RNAcentral lists this ribosomal RNA (457 nucleotides) under uncultured Mobiluncus sp. Its description in RNAcentral is "bacterial SSU rRNA". It matches the Rfam family "Bacterial small subunit ribosomal RNA", at positions 338 to 795 of the family's 1533-position model. Lineage: Bacteria; Bacillati; Actinomycetota; Actinomycetes; Actinomycetales; Actinomycetaceae. The record is from RNAcentral.